This is a ribosomal RNA of 1174 nucleotides. It matches the Rfam family "Bacterial large subunit ribosomal RNA", at positions 1 to 1118 of the family's 2925-position model.
GUGGUUAAGCGACAAAGGGCGUACGGUGGAUGCCUGGGCGUCUGCUAGCGAUGAAGGACGUAGAAGGCUGCGAUAAGCCACGGGGAGCCGCCAAACAGGCCUUGAUCCGUGGAUUUCCGAAUGGGGAAACCCGGCUGACCAAAAGUCAGUCAUCCUCCACUGAACACAUAGGUGGAAGGAAGCGAACGCGGGGAACUGAAACAUCUAAGUACCCGCAGGAAGAGAAAUCAAUUGAGAUACCCCCAGUAGCGGCGAGCGACCGGGGUAGAGCCUAAACCGACUGUGUGUAAGGUUACAGCCGUUGCAUGGUCGGGGUUGUGGGGCUCUCUUUGCACUCUCUGUAAGGAGUGCGGCGAGUAAGAAACUGAAUCGAUAGUCGAAGACUUUGGAAAGGGUCACCGUAGAGGGUAAUGGUCCCGUAGACGAAAUCAAUUCAGCUCGCUUAGAGGGUUCCCGAGUACGGUGGGACACGAGAAAUCCUGCCGGAAUCUGGGUGGACCAUCAUCCAAGGCUAAAUAUACGCAGACGACCGAUAGCGAACCAGUACCGUAAGGGAAAGGUGAAAAGAACCCCUUUAAGGGGAGUGAAAUAGAACCUGAAACCGUAUGCCUACAAGCAGUGGGAGCCCUAUGGCCUUGUGCCAGGGUGACCGCGUGCCUUUUGCAUAAUGAGUCAGCGAGUUAUGCUACGCAGCAAGGUUAAGUCGAAUAGAUGCAGCCGCAGGGAAACCGAGUCUGAACAGGGCGAAUAAGUUGCGUGGUGUAGACCCGAAACCGAGUGAGCUACCCAUGGCCAGGUUGAAGUUCCGGUAAAACGGGAUGAAGGACCGAACCCACUGAUGUUGAAAAAUCAGGGGAUGAGCUGUGGGUAGGGGUGAAAGGCCAAUCAAACUCGGAGAUAGCUGGUUCUCCCCGAAAUAUAUUUAGGUAUAGCCUCGGGAGAUAUCACUGACGGAGGUAGAGCACUGAAUGGGCUAGGGGCCUAACCCGGUUACCAACCCCAAUCAAACUCCGAAUGCCGUUAUGUGUUAUCCCGGGAGUCAGUCUGCGGGUGAUAAGGUCCGUAGACGAGAGGGAAACAACCCAGACCGCCAGCUAAGGUCCCAAAAUGACAGUUAAGUGGUAAAGGAUGUGGAAGCACACAGACAACCAGGAGGUUGGCUUAGAAGCAGCCA